CCUUGCCAGCCCGCUCAGAAACUUAAAGGAAUUGACCGGGGCCCGCACAAGCGGUGGAGCAUGUGGUUUAAUUCGAUGAUACGCGAGGAACCUUACCUGGGCUCAAAUGUAUGUUGACGUAUUCUGAAAGGGAUACUUCUUCGGACAAUAUACAAGGUGCUGCAUGGUUGUCGUCAGCUCGUGCCGUGAGGUGUCGGGUUAAGUCCCAUAACGAGCGCAACCCCUAUCAUUAGUUGCCAUCAGGUCAAGCUGGGGACUCUAAUGAAACUGCCUACGCAAGUAGUGAGGAAGGUGGGGAUGACGUCAAAUCAGCACGGCCCUUACGUCCAGGGCUACACACGUGCUACAAUGGCCGGCACAACGGGAAGCGAGUUCGCGAGGACGAGCGGAUCCCUCAAAGCCGGUCGCAGUUCGGAUUGAAGUCUGCAACUCGACUUCAUGAAGCUGGAAUCGCUAGUAAUCGUGGAUCAGCCAAGCCGCGGUGAAUACGUUCCCGGGCCUU
RNAcentral lists this ribosomal RNA (502 nucleotides) under uncultured Bacteroidota bacterium. RNAcentral describes it as "bacterial SSU rRNA". It matches the Rfam family "Bacterial small subunit ribosomal RNA", at positions 903 to 1382 of the family's 1533-position model. Lineage: Bacteria; Pseudomonadati; Bacteroidota. The record is from RNAcentral.